Molecule: non-coding RNA, 3188 nt
Organism: Monodelphis domestica (gray short-tailed opossum)
Lineage: Eukaryota; Metazoa; Chordata; Mammalia; Didelphimorphia; Didelphidae
Source: RefSeq, a predicted model, not a curated record
UUCCUUCCUUCGAAGAUUAAGGGCUUCUAUUCUAGCAAGGCUGUGGAGUGUCCGUCCAAUGCACCCCAGUUUGCAAGGUCUCUGGGAAACCAUAGCUUAGGAAUUGCCACACAUAUAGCCUGUUCCCUAGUGUGAGAAAAGCAAAUAUUGUAUGUUCUUCCAAGAAAAUUACACAUGAAGGAGUUCUGUGAGAAGAACAUACAGUAUUCUGUACAAAGCUGGGUCAUAUGUUGACAUGUUAAAUUGACGUGUUAAAUUGCCACCUAUAGAAAACUGUUCAAAGCCACCUAAGUAAUCUAAAUCCUUUGUUUCUACCUUGUUAAUCAUUGACUUCCAUUGUGAGUGAUCUAAUCCCUCUGCCUGAUCCAACAAUUUAUAAAUAGCUACUUGAAAUCAAUAAACUUUGUCACUGAUUUGCAAGAGAUUUCUGCUUCUGCUUUCAGUUCGACCCUCUGUAAUCCCAGAAUCAUUUCUCUCAUCCCAGUUAGAGGACCCAUGCAUAAUUUGUAGAGCUGGCUAUUACAGAUCCUCAUAACAAGGACUCUGGUUUUCACCAGACUGUCAAAGGGGCUCUAUGACACCAAACAGAUGAGGAACCCCAGGUGUAAAGCAGAGGAAAACAUAUACCAGGGCUUACAAGCACAAGUGAGAUUGGUCGCUGUUUCUGCAGAUGAGGAAACUGAGGCCUGGACUGGUGAAGUAACUUGUUCAAUUUCACAUAGGUAUUAAGCCAUGAAUAUCAUUAGCCCUGGAACACAGGGUUCAUUCCACUUCCAUUGGGAUGGAUGUGAGCAGGUAGAAUAGGCUCCAGUUUCUUCAUGCUUGGGACUCUGGCCAUAUUGCGUAACAUCAAGCUAAGGCACUAUCUAAAUUCCAUCUCUGUGUCCACUCUAAGUCAUUCUUCAUUGCCUGGAUUAUAGACUCUGUAAGGCUUUUCUCUGAAGGGGCAGGAAGUUGUAGAGAUCUGAACUGGAGUGGGAGGGAGUUCCAGAAGGAUCUGCUUCCAGAAACCAUCAGGAAUCCCCUUGCUCUAAGGCAGAGGUAUGAAUCUGCACAGCCUCCUCUCCCCAUUCACUCUAGGGAAGAAUAGAGAAGAGGUGUGGGUGGAUGGGUGGGAUAUUGCAGAGAUUGAAAUAUUUUGAUGAGAUCCCUCAGGCUCAGGUCCCUGGGAUUAGUCUGGAUUCCAUUCCUGGCAAGGGGAGCAAACAGUCAGAUCUCAAUUAUCUAAACUAAUUGGGGAGGGCUGGAGUAAAGAAGAGCAGAUAAUAGUUAUGCGUGGUUCUUGAAUGCCUUCUCAGGCCUUGUUACUGCAAGCAGAAUGUCCAGGACUAGAAACAUAAUUGUCCAUUGUCUGCUGCCCUGGUUAGACCACAUCUGGAGUUUCUCAUUAUGUUCUUACAUGUUAGGAGGGACAUUGAAAAGCUACAUUGUGCUCAAAGGAGACUAGCCAGAAUGGGUAGGAGGACGGAAAUCAAAUUUAUAUAAGAGGAUUCAUUGAAGGAACUGGGGAUAUUCUUUUUUUUUUUUUAAACCUUUACCUUCGGUCUUGGAGUCAAUACUGUGUAUUGGCUCCAAGGCAGAAGAGUGGUAAGGGCUAGGCAAUGGGGGUCAAGUGACUUGCCCAGGGUCACACAGCUGGGAAGUAUCUGAUGCCAGAUUCGAACUUAGGAUGUCCCUUCUCUAGGGCUGGUUCUCAAUCCACUGAGCUACCCAGCUGCCCCCUAGGGAUAUUUAUUCUGAAGAAGGGAAAGCUCAGGGAGGAUAUGACACAUCUUUCAGUAUAUGAAGGGUUAAAAAUGGAUUGGAUUUAUUUGGGGGGCUUCAGAAGGGAGAACCCAGACUUUUUAGCUAUGAGGGAAAAUUACAGUGAAGUAGAUUUUAGCUGGAAAUCCUUUUUUUCUGUUUGGAUCUGUCCAGCAGUUGAAGGAGUUGCCUUGGCUGUUCUUGACUCAAGAGUCAAAUAGAAAGGGAUCCAUGCAGGGUGUAUAUUGACUUAGAAAACCACAAAUUAACAUUAUCUAUAUUGUUCAGUAUUUUAAAUUUUAUUUUGUUGAACAGUUCUUAAUUACAUUUUAACUGGUGAGUUUUGGCUGCAGUGAGCUUGAUGUUUCUGUUAUAGCUCACAAUGUAAUAAGAGCUUCCCUUCCAGCUCACUGAAUGCUUUCCUUCCAAUAACUAGGUAAGGUAGACAGUGCAAAUGUUAUUAUCCCAUUUUACAGAAAAGGAAACUGAGGAAUAAAAUGAUGUGAAUUGCUUGACACUUGUAAAUGUCUGACCUGGGAUCUAGCAUAAGUCACAAUCUUAGGAGACAUUAAAAGAUACAAAAUAACUUCCAGGACUUGGAGAAUAACCAUUUUGCUACACUUUGCCCUAGUCGAACCAUAUCUAGAGUAUAGUUCUGAGCACCAGAUUUUAAAAAGAACAUUCAUAAUAAUGAGUGUCUAGAGGAGAGUGACCAGAUUUACUUUGAGUCUAUGUCAAAAGAAAAUAACCUGAAGGAACUGGGGCUAUUUAGCUUUGAGAAGAGAACACUUAGGGGGCAUGUGAUAGCUGCCUUCAAAAAUGUGAAGAAAGGGGGGUAACUGGGUGGUUCAGUGGAUUGAGAGCCAGACCUAGAGAUGAGAGGUCCUGGGUUCAAUUCUGGCCUCAGACACUUCCCAGCUGUGUGACCCUGGGCAUGUCACUUAAUACCCAUUGCCUAACCCUUACCACUCUUCUGCCUUAGAACCAAUACAUAGUAAGGGUUUUGAAAUUUUUAAAAAAUGUAAAGAGAAAAUAGAUUCAUUCUGGUCAACUCUAGGGAGUAGAACCAGGAGCUAUGAGAGGAAGCUGCAGAGGAUCAGUUUAGAAGAGUCUUUAGACACCAUUUUGUCCAGCUUACUCACUUUACAGAUGAGGAAAACUGAAGCACAAAGAAGAUUUGAUCAAUGGAAUCUGGCUGAGGAGAGAUUUGAACCCAUAUCUUCCUGCCUCCAAGUCCAGUGCCUUAAUUGCUAUACCAUGUUGCCUCUCUAUUUAGACUUGAUUUAAAGACAGACUUCCUAACAGAGCUAUCCUGGGCUCUCUCUGACAGUCUGGGCUGUCUCUGGAGAUCUUUAAUAAAGCGACGGCUACUUGUAAUUUUUGUUGUAAAGGGAAUUCUUUUUCCUAUCAUGGCUGGAAUAGGUGGCCUCUGAAAUCCCUUCCCA